This 631-nucleotide ribosomal RNA is filed under the name Salmonella enterica subsp. enterica serovar Agona. RNAcentral's name for it is "partial 23S ribosomal RNA". It matches the Rfam family "Bacterial large subunit ribosomal RNA", at positions 610 to 1241 of the family's 2925-position model. Lineage: Bacteria; Pseudomonadati; Pseudomonadota; Gammaproteobacteria; Enterobacterales; Enterobacteriaceae. The record is from RNAcentral.
GUAUAAUGGGUCAGCGACUUAUAUUCUGUAGCAAGGUUAACCGUAUAGGGGAGCCGCAGGGAAACCGAGUCUUAACCGGGCGUUAAGUUGCAGGGUAUAGACCCGAAACCCGGUGAUCUAGUCAUGGGCAGGUUGAAGGUUGGGUAACACUAACUGGAGGACCGAACCGACUAAUGUUGAAAAAUUAGCGGAUGACCUGUGGCUGGGGGUGAAAGGCCAAUCAAACCGGGAGAUAGCUGGUUCUCCCCGAAAGCUAUUUAGGUAGCGCCUCGUGAAUUCAUCUCCGGGGGUAGAGCACUGUUUCGGCUAGGGGGCCAUCCCGGCUUACCAACCCGAUGCAAACUGCGAAUACCGGAGAAUGUUAUCACGGGAGACACACGGCGGGUGCUAACGUCCGUCGUGAAGAGGGAAACAACCCAGACCGCCAGCUAAGGUCCCAAAGUCAUGGUUAAGUGGGAAACGAUGUGGGAAGGCCCAGACAGCCAGGAUGUUGGCUUAGAAGCAGCCAUCAUUUAAAGAAAGCGUAAUAGCUCACUGGUCGAGUCGGCCUGCGCGGAAGAUGUAACGGGGCUAAACCAUGCACCGAAGCUGCGGCAGCGACACUCAGGUGUUGUUGGGUAGGGGAGCGUUC